UGAAUUGAUGAUCCUUUGUGUU
Molecule: non-coding RNA, 22 nt
Filed under: Rattus norvegicus (Norway rat)
Lineage: Eukaryota; Metazoa; Chordata; Mammalia; Rodentia; Muridae
Source: RNAcentral